CCUACGGGAGGCAGCAGUGAGGAAUAUUGGUCAAUGGACGCAAGUCUGAACCAGCCAUGCCGCGUGCAGGAAGACGGCUCGAGGAGUUGUAAACUGCUUUUGUACGAGGGUAAACGCAGAUACGCGGAUCUGUAUGAAAUGAUCGUACGAAUAAGGAUCGGCUAACUCCGGUCCAGAGGCCGCGGUAAUACGGAGGAUUCAAGCGUUAUCCGGAUUUAUUGGGUUUAAAGGGUGCGUAGGCGGUCGGAUAAGUUAGAGGUGAAAUCCCGAGGCUCAACUUCGGAAUUGCCUCUGAUACUGUUCGGCUAGAGAGUAGUGGCGGUAGGCGGAAUGUAUGGUGUAGCGGUGAAAUGCUUAGAGAUCAUACAGAACACCGAUUGCGAAGGCAGCUUACCAAGCUACUUCUGACGUUGAGGCACGAAAGCGUGGGGAGCAAACAGGAUUAGAUACCCGAGUAGUC
This 460-nucleotide ribosomal RNA is filed under the name uncultured bacterium. RNAcentral describes it as "partial 16S ribosomal RNA". It matches the Rfam family "Bacterial small subunit ribosomal RNA", at positions 338 to 795 of the family's 1533-position model. The record is from RNAcentral.